GAUCCUGGCUCAGGAUGAACGCUAGCGGCAGGCCUAACACAUGCAAGUCGAGGGGUAGUUACUUUCGGGUAAUGAGACCGGCGCACGGGUGCGUAACGCGUAUGCAAUCUACCUUUACAGGGGAAUAGCCCAGAGAAAUUUGGAUUAAUGCCCCAUAGUAUGUAUGAAUCGCAUGGUUUAUACAUUAAAGUUCCAACGGUAAAAGAUGAGCAUGCGUCCCAUUAGUUAGUUGGUAAGGUAACGGCUUACCAAGACGAUGAUGGGUAGGGGUCCUGAGAGGGAGAUCCCCCACACUGGUACUGAGACACGGACCAGACUCCUACGGGAGGCAGCAGUGAGGAAUAUUGGACAAUGGGCGCAAGCCUGAUCCAGCCAUGCCGCGUGCAGGAAGAAGCAUCUAUGGUGUGUAAACUGCUUUUGUACGGGAAGAAACACUCCUACGUGUAGGAGCUUGACGGUACCGUAAGAAUAAGGAUCGGCUAACUCCGUG
RNAcentral lists this ribosomal RNA (490 nucleotides) under uncultured bacterium. Its description in RNAcentral is "bacterial SSU rRNA". It matches the Rfam family "Bacterial small subunit ribosomal RNA", at positions 15 to 507 of the family's 1533-position model. The record is from RNAcentral.